This 447-nucleotide ribosomal RNA is filed under the name uncultured bacterium. RNAcentral's name for it is "bacterial SSU rRNA". It matches the Rfam family "Bacterial small subunit ribosomal RNA", at positions 329 to 793 of the family's 1533-position model. The record is from RNAcentral.
GGCCAGACUCCUACGGGAGGCAGCAGUGGGGAAUAUUGCACAAUGGGGGAAACCCUGAUGCAGCGACGCCGCGUGAGUGAAGAAGUAUUUCGGUAUGUAAAGCUCUAUCAGCAGGGAAGAAAAUGACGGUACCUGACUAAGAAGCCCCGGCUAACUACGUGCCAGCAGCCGCGGUAAUACGUAGGGGGCAAGCGUUAUCCGGAUUUACUGGGUGUAAAGGGAGCGCAGGCGGUGAGGCAAGUCUGAUGUGAAAACCCGGGGCUCAACUCCGGGACUGCAUUGGAAACUGUCUUACUUGAGUACCGGAGAGGUAAGUGGAAUUCCUAGUGUAGCGGUGAAAUGCGUAGAUAUUAGGAGGAACACCAGUGGCGAAGGCGGCUUACUGGACGGUAACUGACGCUGAGGCUCGAAAGCGUGGGGAGCAAACAGGAUUAGAUACCCUGGUAG